GAUGAAGAACGCAGCGAAAUGCGAUAAGUAAUGUGAAUUGCAGAAUUCAGUGAAUCAUCGAAUCUUUGAACGCACCUUGCGCUCCUUGGUAUUCCUUGGAGCAUGCCUGUUUGAGUAUCAUGAAAUCUUCAAAGUCAAACCUUUUGUUAAUUCAAUUGGUUCUGCUUUGGUAUUGGAGGAUUAUUGCAGCUUCACACCUGCUCCUCUUUGUGCAUUAGCUGGAUCUCAGUGUUAUGCUUGGUUCCACUCAGCGUGAUAAGUUAUCUAUCGCUGAGGACACCCUGUUAAAAAGGGGUGGCCAAGGUAAAUGCAGAUCAACCGCUUCUAAUAGUCCAUUGACUUGGACAAUAUCUAAUUUAUGAUCUGAUCUCAAAUCAGGUAGGACUACCCGCUGAACUUAAGCAUAUCAAUAAGCGGAGGA
This 421-nucleotide unclassified non-coding RNA is filed under the name soil metagenome. RNAcentral's name for it is "partial contains 5.8S ribosomal RNA, internal transcribed spacer 2, and large subunit ribosomal RNA". The stretch from base 1 to 120 matches the Rfam family "5.8S ribosomal RNA", at positions 35 to 154 of the family's 154-position model. The record is from RNAcentral.